Molecule: ribosomal RNA, 521 nt
Filed under: Russula sp. YM331
Lineage: Eukaryota; Fungi; Basidiomycota; Agaricomycetes; Russulales; Russulaceae
Description: eukaryotic LSU rRNA
Rfam family: 5.8S ribosomal RNA (bases 89-242)
Source: RNAcentral
GGUCUCCUUUUUGCAAAGGAGCUCACGUUUUCACACAAAACUUGAUACAGUGUAGAAUGUUAUCUUUGCGGUCACACGCAAUCAAUACAACUUUCAACAACGGAUCUCUUGGCUCUCGCAUCGAUGAAGAACGCAGCGAAAUGCGAUACGUAAUGUGAAUUGCAGAAUUCAGUGAAUCAUCGAAUCUUUGAACGCACCUUGCGCCCCUUGGCAUUCCGAGGGGCACACCCGUUUGAGUGUCGUGAAAUCCUCAAAAAUCCUUUUUGGACUUACUGAAAAGGAUUUUUGGACUUGGAGGUUUAAUGCUUGCCUUUCACCUUUGAAAGUGAGCUCCUCUCAAAUGAAUUAGUGGGGUCUGCUUUGCUUUGAUCCUUGACGUGAUAAAAUGUUUCUACGUUUUGGAUUUUUGGCACUGUUCCUUUGGAUGCCUGCUUCUAACUGUCUUUAUGGACAAUGGAUGGUGUUCCGGUCCCUGCCGUCUAAUGUCGGUGGGAGGCUGGACCCACGAACGAAAACCUGAC